RNAcentral lists this ribosomal RNA (120 nucleotides) under Penicillium salamii. The record is from RNAcentral. Lineage: Eukaryota; Fungi; Ascomycota; Eurotiomycetes; Eurotiales; Aspergillaceae.
ACAUACGACCACAGGGUGUGAGAACAGGGCUUCCCGUCCGCUCAGCCGUACUUAAGCCACACGCCGGUGAGUUAGUAGUUGGGUGGGUGACCACCAGCGAAUCCUCACUGUUGUAUGUUU